This 483-nucleotide ribosomal RNA is filed under the name uncultured bacterium. RNAcentral describes it as "partial 16S ribosomal RNA". It matches the Rfam family "Bacterial small subunit ribosomal RNA", at positions 28 to 523 of the family's 1533-position model. The record is from RNAcentral.
GACGAACGCUGGCGGCGUGCUUAACACAUGCAAGUCGAACGAUGAAGCUGGAGCUUGCUCCGGUGGAUUAGUGGCGAACGGGUGAGUAACACGUGAGCAAUCUGCCCUUGACUCUGGGAUAACUGCGGGAAACUGUAGCUAAUACCGGAUACUUUCACUGGAAGGCAUCUUCUGGUGAAGAAAGAAUUUCGGUCAAGGAUGAGCUCGCGGCCUGUCAGCUUGUUGGUGAGGUAACGGCUCACCAAGGCGACGACGGGUAGCCGGCCUGAGAGGGUGACCGCCACACUGGGACUGAGACACGGCCCAGACUCCUACGGGAGGCAGCAGUGGGGAAUAUUGCACAAUGGGCGCAAGCCUGAUGCAGCAACGCCGCGUGAGGGAUGAAGGCCUUCGGGUUGUAAACCUCUUUUAGCAGGGAAGAAGCGAAAGUGACGGUACCUGCAGAAAAAGCACCGGCUAACUACGUGCCAGCAGCCGCCGCCG